Long non-coding RNA from Amblyraja radiata (thorny skate), 84 nucleotides. RefSeq lists it as uncharacterized. NCBI's taxonomy places the organism in Eukaryota, Metazoa, Chordata, Chondrichthyes, Rajiformes, Rajidae. The transcript has 3 exons. The record is from RefSeq and is a predicted model, not a curated record.
GUCAGGAAGUCACCAUGCUGCUCUAUAGGACGUUGGUGAGGCCGCAUUUGGAGUAUUGCGUGCAAUUCUGGUUGCCCCAAUUAC